CCCUUAGAUGCCCUGGGCCGCACGCGCGCUACACUGAUGCAUUCAACGAGUUUUACCUUGGCCGAGAGGCCUGGGCAAUCUUUUAAACCUGCAUCGUGAUAGGGAUAGAUUAUUGCAAUUAUUAAUCUUGAACGAGGAAUUCCUAGUAAACGCAAAUCAUCAAUUUGCAUUGAUUACGUCCCUGCCCUUUGUGCACACCGCCCGUCGCACCUACCGAUUGAAUGGUCCGGUGAAGCCUCGGGAUUGUGGCCAGUUCACUUUAUUGGGAGUUGGCUGUGAGAACUUGUCUAAACCUUAUCAUUUAGAGGAAGGUGAAGUCGUAACA
Molecule: ribosomal RNA, 325 nt
Filed under: uncultured eukaryote
Lineage: Eukaryota
Description: partial 18S ribosomal RNA
Rfam family: Eukaryotic small subunit ribosomal RNA
Source: RNAcentral